This 253-nucleotide ribosomal RNA is filed under the name uncultured bacterium. RNAcentral describes it as "partial 16S ribosomal RNA". It matches the Rfam family "Bacterial small subunit ribosomal RNA", at positions 524 to 776 of the family's 1533-position model. The record is from RNAcentral.
UACGUAGGGGGCCAGCGUUGUCCGGAAUCAUUGGGCGUAAAGCGCGCGUAGGCGGCCAGAUAAGUCCGGUGUGAAAGUCAAAGGCUCAACCUUUGAAUGCCGCUGGAAACUGUCUGGCUUGAGUCCGGAAGGGGCGAGUGGAAUUCCUGGUGUAGCGGUGAAAUGCGCAGAUAUCAGGAGGAACACCGGUGGCGAAGGCGGGUCUCUGGGCAGUAACUGACGCUGAGGAGCGAAAGCGUGGGGAGCGAACAGG